Molecule: ribosomal RNA, 164 nt
Filed under: Memecylon aff. lateriflorum 1 RDS-2013
Lineage: Eukaryota; Viridiplantae; Streptophyta; Magnoliopsida; Myrtales; Melastomataceae
Description: 5.8S ribosomal RNA
Rfam family: 5.8S ribosomal RNA
About the family: 5.8S ribosomal RNA (5.8S rRNA) is a component of the large subunit of the eukaryotic ribosome. It is transcribed by RNA polymerase I as part of the 45S precursor that also contains 18S and 28S rRNA.
Source: RNAcentral
AAAAACGACUYUCGGCAACGGAUAUYUCGGCUCUUGCAUCGAUGAAGAACGUAGCGAAAUGCGAUACUUGGUGUGAAUUGCAGAAUCCCGUGAACCAUCGAGUCUUUGAACGCAAGUUGCGCCCGAAGCCAUUUGGUUGAGGGCACGCCUGCCUGGGUGUCGUG